AGUUGUUUAUUUAUUUACCUGUUUAUUUCAGAUAAUUAUUGGAAUACUGUAUAUGCACUAUAUGAAUGUUCUGUAAUGUUUGAACAGUAAUUACUGUUCCAAACCCAUAUUUUGAAUGAAACCUGAGAGGUUUCUGUAUCUCCACUGAAAGUCCAUGUAACCAAAACUUAAAAGAUCCAGAAAGGUUCUAAAUGCACUAUACAACGAAUCCAUACGAAUAGAGUGGUUUAAUGUAAGUCUUGUGAAGAGAGACAAUUGCUUUAUAUGAUGAACAGAAAACACGUAGCUUGAUAAAAUUCAUCAGAUUUUGCCCAAAGCAGAAAAUGAGAAAAGGUUUGCAUCUGGGCAAAAUUAUGACUGCAUUUACAUAACAAGAUGAUUCGACUCACAUUAUAAAGCAUUACAAACGGCUAUCCUUUGGGGUCCAAGGGGGAUAAGAUUUUGUGGGGAUUUGGCAGGACCGCAGAACAAGCUUAACUAACAGCACCUGUACAUAGAUGUGAUGUUUGGAACACCUUAAUGAAAGGCUUUUGUAAGCAGCAGCAUUUCUGCUGAUAUUUCAAUAGAAGUGACAUUUACAGGGAAAAGCUCCUGACAAGGGCACCCUGCUGUGUCAUGGCUGGGGAAAAUGAUUAUCUCUUAUGCAGAAUGCAUGCAUGAAUGUAAGAUUUUCAUUUUUGUUGUCUCUAGUCUUGACAAAAACCAAAACAACUGCAGAUUCUACAGGAUUUGACUUGAAAAGAAAACACUGUGCUUCUCUACACUAGAUAUGUAAAGCGCAACAGAAUCUCAGUUACCUGCUGAGCCUUGGCACGUUUUCACAUGCUGUUUUUGGACAAUACUCUUCACUGUGAUUGAUGUCCCUUGAGACCGAAGCUCCGAUUACCCUUGGACUGAUCAGUUUGCAG
Molecule: long non-coding RNA, 908 nt
Organism: Cyprinus carpio (common carp)
Lineage: Eukaryota; Metazoa; Chordata; Actinopteri; Cypriniformes; Cyprinidae
Exons: 2
Source: RefSeq, a predicted model, not a curated record